GCUAAGCCCUCCGCCCCCCGGGGCGUCCGCGCGGCGCAUCGCCACCAAGCAGAACCCGCGCUUGGAUGAUGCCCGCCGGCCCUGGCCGACCGCUGUCUCGCUGCAGGAGCGGGUGGACGUGGGAGCGCUCGAAUAUUCCUUUGUCAUUUUUCAUGAAUGGACUGAGUCCUGAUCAUAACUAUAUGAUGGUAGAUUCCAUUGAAGAGUGGUAAGUAUUUCAAAUAAUGACUUUGCUACUGCUAUUACUUAAAAUAACGUAUUGACCUUUUUUUUAAAUCUACUUUGGGUAAACUCUUCUACUUUGCAAUUGACUUAUAAAUAAUUAACAAGUUAAAAAGAUACCUGAAGAAAGUGUGUAUUUUUUCACUUACUGGAGUACUUUAAAGUAUGUGCAUAUAUAUCCUUUGCAAUAAAUAUUUACUGGGCAUUUUAUAAGCAACUAUGGUUCUGGAGGUAGAAAUAUGGGUAAAUUACAGUCCAGUGGGGAAGACUGGCCCAUACAAAACUGACCUUAGUUUAGUAUAAGUAUUGAAUUUUUGAACAGCUAAGUUGGAAAGUCAGGCCGGUAUAUGAAAAUAUUGCUUAGAACAUUUGUGGUAUUCUGAAUUACCAUUUGAACCAGUACAUAAUCAGAAUAAAAAAAUUUUUUUAAACUUAGUUAUUUUGUAUCUGGAGUUUUUCAUUUUUACAUAUUUUUAGUCAAAAGUAGUAUUACCACAUUAGGUCACCCACAUAUUAAUUGGAUGGGUUUUAAAUGAUAUUUGGUUGAUUCUAAAAACAAAACGUCUCAGAAGAUGGAAAUUGGACCAGCUGUUGACAUUCAAAAAACCAAAGUCCCAUAGUCAGAAAUACUACAGGCAAAUACAUUUUCUAAGUCACUUGAAAAUUACAGGAGGGAUCGAGACUGUUUAAUUUAUGAAGCUAUCAAACUCUAAUAGCAUCAACUUGUAUACAAUUUCUUGCAUAUACAUGGAACUACAGAGAAAAUGUAAAUAAAUAGAGUCUGAAAGCGAUUGAGAAUGGGUAAGAGUUUAUAAUACAAUAUUAAGCCUUUCUGAAUCACAGAUGAGAAGAGUAAAGCUUAGGAACAGACUUUAUUGAAUGGCAGAAUCAGGACAGGAAAUCCAUGUCUACUGAUGUCUUGUAUACUAUAUCAUAAAUACUUGCGAAAAAUUCUUUUUCAAACCAGUUUCAUAAAACUUUAAAAAAUGAGAAAUUGGAUAAGUAACUCAUAAGAGUAUGAGCUUUCUGGCCAGGUUCCCUUCAGCUACUUGUAACUAGGCCUGACAAUUUAGAUCUUCUCCCUCUUAUUUUAACUGGUUAUGGUGAUUAGUUCUAGACUUUUCUGCAUUUGAGAAAAAAAUUGCUUUUUCAAUCUUAGUAAAGUCUUCAAAACAAUUCUGAGAGCUUCUCUCAUAAUUUUUUUGGGUAACAUUCCAUAAUAUAUUUAUUAAAUUCACUCCAAGGUAGUGAGAUUUUAUUCUCCCUAAGUAGUUCAAAUUAGUGAAGUUUUAAUGUAAAUUUUUAGGAUAUAGAUACAGUGCAUUCUAUAUAUGGUAUUUUCUUUUAAUGGAGUAUGUCUUUCUGGGGAAGUGGUUGAUGUGGGCGCUGAUUUUCAGAAGUACACAAAUUCUUUGUGUUUCUAAAUCUUUUAAACCUAAGGGAAACAAGUAUCAGAAGAACAGAGCUGUUCUCUUGGGAGUUAUGUUGGCUUUUUAAAAAUCUUCCUUGUUAUUUUCUGUAGUGAGUCCAGGUAGCUACUAGAAUUACUUCGUAGUUGUUAUAAACCCUUGUCUUUGAUUUAUAAUAAUGCCCUCCAGGGAAGUAAGACUCAACAGAUGGCUCAUCUUCUCCAAAAGGAUUUGAUAAUCUCCACAUGGGGCUCUUUCUAAAAAAUUUUGAGACAGUAGCAAAGUAAACAUGAUGAGUGAGAAGAAAUAAGAUAGUCUUGAUGGUCAUUUUUAAUAAAAUUCAAAGCAAAAUGAAACUAUUCUUGAACCUCUUUUGCUAUUUUAUUUCCAGUUUUCUGUUAACUUUGUAUGAAGAAGGUGGAGAUGAUCUAGAAACAGUUUUUGUUUAAUAACUUCUGCGUUCUGUGUGUGAGACUGAAGGGCAGUUUAAAACAAAAACAACUUUGAUUGUCAUUAUUCUGCAUUAAAGCAUUUCAUAUGCCCUCUCUCUUCCCAAGCUCCAAGUCACUCAUAGCCAAACCUCAAGUUAAAGAACUUGAGAGAGAAUAAAUGAUAGAACUUUCUAAGUCACUGAGUGACAUUGAGCUUUCUUUAAAUGUAUGUGUUCAGAAAGUGUUGACAUUUAAACCUUUUGAAUAACCUCUAAAUAUAUCUAAUGGGAUAUAUGACACGUAAUAAUGGUUUCAUGAAUAUUGUAUCUGAAAUCAGUAAAAAAAAAAAAAAAAAGAAAGAAAGAAAGAAAGAAAAAGAUGAUCUGAUGCUCAGCCAGGUGUUCCUGCCCAAAUUAAUGGAGAAAUAAAGGUAAAUAACAUUCUUAAGUGAAAGAAUUAUUUAACAGAUGGUUUUUAAGUAAGCAGCUUAAGGGCAUUCUCUCCCUCUUCAACAAAGUUUGGUUUCAAGCCUCUUGGCCAAUGAAAAGCAAUGUAUUGUUUACUUCUUCAGUACCCCCUUCCCAAUUUAAGAGACAUUUAUUGAAAAUCUAUUUGCAUACAGUUAGAUGUUAAACUUUGAGUUAUUAAGCUGUACAUUUUUUUAUCUGAGUCUUUUCCUUUCUUAUCAUACAGCUCUUAAUCUUUAGCUCUCUUAUGAUCAGUUCAGCCUGACCUAUUGGAGAUCUUAUAAAAAUAUUCCAAUUCAUAUUUUUCCUUAGUGCUCUGUUUGUUUAUUGUGACAUCACAAGGAAUUUCUCCUUCCAGUUUUCUGUCAUUAUCCUAUUCCUUUCCAUGGGCCUGGAUCUUUUUGCUCUUGGCCUCCUCAAUGUAAUGCCUCAUUUCUACAAGGAAACAUUACCAGAAACUGCCACUGUUCUGGGAUUGCAGAUACUCUAUACUUAAAAAAAAAAAAAAAAAAAAAAAAAAAAAA
Molecule: long non-coding RNA, 3053 nt
Filed under: Sus scrofa (pig)
Lineage: Eukaryota; Metazoa; Chordata; Mammalia; Artiodactyla; Suidae
Description: lncRNA (ENSSSCG00035003194.1)
Source: RNAcentral